GGAGAGAGAAAAUAUAUGUUGCCGGGAAGUACCCCAGGUCAUUAGAAGAAUGACCCAGGUUCCGGAGGAGAUAACCUGUAUGAUUGACCAUCCUGGCCUUGAACCGGUGUGCCUCAACAUAUAUUCUUUACAAAAUGCAAUGAACAUCUACAGAGCUGACCAUGGGCAGUUGAGAAUAAGAGGGAUGGAAAGGCAAUGCAGACACUUGGCCUACAGAUCUUUCGUGAGCUGGUGCUGGGGUUUCCUUGG
Molecule: long non-coding RNA, 249 nt
Organism: Alosa sapidissima (American shad)
Lineage: Eukaryota; Metazoa; Chordata; Actinopteri; Clupeiformes; Clupeidae
Exons: 3
Source: RefSeq, a predicted model, not a curated record